GACGAACGCUGGCGGCGUGCCUAAUACAUGCAAGUCGAACGCAGUGGGGACGGGUGAGUAACACGUGGGUAACCUCCCAUCAGAGGGGAUAACACUUGGAAACAGGCGCUAAACCGCUACUGAUGGAUGGACCCGCGGUGCAUUAGCUAGGUGGUGGGGUAACGGCUCACCAGGGCGACGAUGCAUAGCGGGCCUGAGAGGGUGAUCGGCCACACUGGGACUGAGACACGGCCCAGACUCCUACGGGAGGCAGCAGUGGGGAAUCUUCGGCAAUGGGCGAAAGUCUGACCGAGCAACGCCGCGUGUGUGAAGAAGGUUUUCGGAUCGUAAAGCUCUGUUGUUAGAGAAGCGGUAUCUAACCAGAAAGCCACGGCUAACUACGUGCCAGCCGCCGCGGUAAUUC
Molecule: ribosomal RNA, 403 nt
Filed under: uncultured bacterium
Lineage: Bacteria
Description: partial 16S ribosomal RNA
Rfam family: Bacterial small subunit ribosomal RNA
Source: RNAcentral